ACAUCACUGGCCAAAUUGGUAAGGCAGCGGUCUCCAAAACCGAAGAUUUUCCAAGUUCGACUCUUGGGUGAUGUG
RNAcentral lists this transfer RNA (75 nucleotides) under Candidatus Brocadiales bacterium. Its description in RNAcentral is "tRNA-Trp". It matches the Rfam family "tRNA". Rfam says of the family: Transfer RNA (tRNA) molecules are approximately 80 nucleotides in length. Their secondary structure includes four short double-helical elements and three loops (D, anti-codon, and T loops). Further hydrogen bonds mediate the characteristic L-shaped molecular structure. tRNAs have two regions of fundamental functional importance: the anti-codon, which is responsible for specific mRNA codon recognition, and the 3' end, to which the tRNAs corresponding amino acid is attached (by aminoacyl-tRNA synthetases). tRNAs cope with the degeneracy of the genetic code in two manners: having more than one tRNA (with a specific anti-codon) for a particular amino acid; and 'wobble' base-pairing, i.e. permitting non-standard base-pairing at the 3rd anti-codon position. The record is from RNAcentral. Lineage: Bacteria; Pseudomonadati; Planctomycetota; Candidatus Brocadiia; Candidatus Brocadiales.